UUUUUAUAAGAAAAUGUUAAAAAUUUAAUAUAAUUCUUAUAAACAAUGAAAUGACAUUUUUUUUCUCAUGAAAUUAACAAAGUUCAUUAUUUGUAAGCAAACACUAAUUCUAUUGACCAAUGUGGCGUAAUGAGUUUAGCCUUGCUCAGCUAUUCACACAGGUAACGUGUAAAUCUUUCCAUUGUUAGAUUACGUGGCAGCCCACGUUUGGAUUAAUCUUCCCAAUUGCACGACAUUUAUCUUUUCCUUUAUCCACGUGUGUGAAGCUGCCUCAUAAAGUGGUUUCAUGCUCUUAGCUUCUUCAAUUAAUUGUGCUAUAAACAUAGAGCAUGAGUAAAAUAUCCAUUUGUCAAAUUCCCAUGAAUUUUGUCUGAUUAACACUCUCAAACGACUGUCGCAGACCUAAAUAUACUUGAUAAUGAUUCGACUAACUCGUAUUCGACUAUCUUUGCACUUGUCUAAACCUUCAAUUGGCUUAGAUGAGUAGUCUGCCUGACCCUAAACAGACCACAACCGCAUCUGCCACUUAAAACCAUUUGUGUUGAUAAUUUCCAAACAUCAAUACGUACCCCAUCUUCCAAUCUAUAUAUGAUAUGAUAUAUUCAUUUUUUCGGGCAUAUUGGAGUGCACUCGUUCAUUAAUACACAUCCUUUUAAGUUUGUAUUCAGGGGUGGCCCUGAGGGCGGGCGGGAGGGGUGGCAGUCCAGGGCACCAAUUAUUUUGGGAAAGUAAAAUUAUUAUUUUUACUUAGUAGUUAUUACAAUAUAGAUAUAUUUCUUUUUAAUUUGUUUUGAUUAAUUCUAUUGAAAAUAUCUUUUUAGAAAACUUUGAUUAUAAAUGAAUCUUGUGCAACAAAAUAUACAAGAAAAAUAUUAGAAUAAUUAAAAUAGGGGUCUUGUUAACCAGUGCCCCCGGGGCGGGGGCACUGGUUAAGGAAUCUAUAAAUAAAAUUUUUGUCUUCGAAAUAUAAACUGUCACUUUUUAUCAAGUAAUAAUUACAUUACUUUUUAAUAAAAACUUACUUCAUUUGGUUCUUAACCAAUGCUCCGUAUGUACUGGUUAACAUUCUCCUUAAAAUAAUACAAUUUUUUCCUUUCGUCUAGGGCACCAAAAAUCUUAGGACCAACCCUCUUUGUAUUUUACCGUAAGAAAAAAGAUUAUAUGUCAUUUUAUAAACCUAAAUAAAAUAUUAUAAGCAUGAUCUCGUACUCUAUAUGGUUUUUGCUGGCCUCACGGAGGCAUAGAUUCUUUAAAGACUAGGGCACGCUAUCAAUUAAUAAAUGAUUCGAUUAUUUGUCUUCUUUCUGCCUCUCUGAGUUACUCUCGAGUCUAAAUGUAUAAACUAAAUAAUGAAUGUGACAUGAUGACAAAAUAAAAUCCUUUGCCUUUUUUUUUCCCUAUUAUGGCAAAUCAACUUAACAAAUCAGAUACAAAAUACUGAAACAGAAUGUGAUUGGUUUAAUUAGACUAUUUUCAAGAAAAGAAGAAAAGUGUGAAAGAAAAUUAAGAAAUUCUAUGAAAAUGCUUGGCAUGAGAGAACAAAGAAAUGGUUUUUCUAGAAAGUCAUACCAUGUCUUUAAGCUUGCCAAAGUUCUUAUCCUAAACAUUCACAAUUCAGCAAUCAAUUUUGUGACAAAAUUAUUUCUGUCUCUGUGCAACCAAAUUUUGUUAUGAGACACUAUAUCUAUCGUUAAAUGAGGUUGUGACCGGUUUACUAAAUAUCACUAAACAAGCUAAUGUUAACGAUUGAUUUGACAUUUUGAUCUCUAAAUCGGUCAUUAUAAUAAAGAAUGACAAUCAUAAUUGGCAUAACCUUUUUACUUUUAACAAAAAUUUGUUAAAUUAACGUAAUGCAUGCUAUGUUGGAAAAGGAGAAGGUUGUAGUGAUAACUUUGUGAGAAACUUAGGAGGAGAUAAUAUUUGAGAGAAGAACUAUUUUAUUACUUAGAGAGGAUAUUUUGAUUCUUGUUUGCUUGCUUGCUUUACAAAUGAGAAGCUCUCCUCCUUUUAUAGGAUCCAAGG
Molecule: long non-coding RNA, 2022 nt
Filed under: Medicago truncatula (barrel medic)
Lineage: Eukaryota; Viridiplantae; Streptophyta; Magnoliopsida; Fabales; Fabaceae
Description: long non-coding RNA (MTRU_LNC000487)
Source: RNAcentral